AUACGGAGGAUCCAAGCGUUAUCCGGAAUCAUUGGGUUUAAAGGGUCCGUAGGCGGCUUUAUAAGUCAGUGGUGAAAUCCGGCAGCUCAACUGUCGAAUUGCCAUUGAUACUGUAGGGCUUGAAUCGUUGUGAAGUAACUAGAAUAUGUAGUGUAGCGGUGAAAUGCUUAGAUAUUACAUGGAAUACCAAUUGCGAAGGCAGGUUACUAACACCGUAUUGACGCUGAUGGACGAAAGCGUGGGUAGCGAACAGGAUUAGAUACCCUGGUAGUCCACGCCGUAAACGAUGGAUACUAGCUGUUCGGUUGCAAGACUGAGUGGCUAAGCGAAAGUGAUAAGUAUCCCACCUGGGGAGUACGAACGCAAGUUUGAA
This 373-nucleotide ribosomal RNA is filed under the name uncultured bacterium. Its description in RNAcentral is "bacterial SSU rRNA". It matches the Rfam family "Bacterial small subunit ribosomal RNA", at positions 523 to 898 of the family's 1533-position model. The record is from RNAcentral.